GUGAAUCAUCGAAUCUUUGAACGCACAUUGCGCUUCCUGGCAUCCCGGGAAGUAUGCCUGUUUGAGGGUCAGUAUUAACAAAAAAUCGGUUUGGUUGCAAAUUGUGACGUUUCUGGAGUUCGGGCUAUCUUAACUUUUUUGGUUAAGGGGCUUAAAAUUGACCUUAUUUGCGCAUUUUUAGACGUACAUAAAUUUUUUUUUAUUCCUCUACUCUUAAAUCCUAAAUCUUUAUUGAU
This 236-nucleotide unclassified non-coding RNA is filed under the name Glomeraceae sp. RNAcentral's name for it is "partial contains 5.8S ribosomal RNA and internal transcribed spacer 2". The stretch from base 1 to 71 matches the Rfam family "5.8S ribosomal RNA", at positions 84 to 154 of the family's 154-position model. Lineage: Eukaryota; Fungi; Glomeromycota; Glomeromycetes; Glomerales; Glomeraceae. The record is from RNAcentral.